UAGAGAUAUAAAGCCCGGAAAUAUUCUUUUAGAUGCUCAUCUGAAUGGCAAGUUAGGAGACUUCGGCAUGGCGAGGUUAUAUGAUCACGGUAGCAUUCCUUGUACCACUAACCUGGUAGGAACUCUAGGUUAUAUGGCUCCGGAGCUUCUCAGAACUGGAAAGGCAGAUACUAGGACUGAUGUAUUUGCUUUUGGGGUUUGUAUGCUUGAGGUGGCAUGUGGAAGGAGACCUAUAGAGGAUGGAAACAUAAACUUGGUAGAUUGGGUUAUUGAUUGCUGGAAAAGAGAAUGUAUCCUUGAUGUUAUUGAUCCGAGACUGGAGGGUCUUUAUGUCGAGGAGCAAAUGGAGUUGGUAUUGAAAUUAGGCUUGUUUUGUUCACACCCUAACCCAGCAGCCAGGCCUAACAUGCCGCAGUUGAUGCAGUAUCUGGAUAGUGAUGCCAAGUUUCCAGAUACUGCUCUUGAUAGCUUCAUGAUCAGUGUUUCUACUGCUAAUAAUGAAGCUUCAGAAAACGUGAUUUCAUUUCUUGCACUGCUCGGAACCAGUUCUUCUUACACCAUGUCAACCAUUGAUUCAAUCCUUGUAGAAGGUCGUUGAACUUGAGCCCACAUUUUUAAACUCUUUUUGGCUAGUUCACUGAGAGUAUUGAGUUGACAUUAGUGGCAAUCCGAGUUAAGGGUCCAUCUUACGUUACUACAAUUCUUGCUUGUUACUUUCUGUUUGACUUUUUCUUGUGGACUACAAUAGUAUUUAACUGCUCAUUUGCAUAUACUUUUUUUUUUUUGUAAAUUCAUAAAUAAAUAAAUAAGCGUGGGUCUCGGACAAUGUAUAUGUUUUGGCUUGACUAAUAAAUCCUGUGAAUGUACCCCGAUUCAAGCAAGGGCUAAGGUUGUAAUUCUGAUGGUUGCAUAAUGUGAUCCUGACAUUGACUUCGUGUUGGCAUUUAUCAAUUUUGUGAAUCAUUCAGCUCUUAUAAGGGAUCAUUAUUAUUUAAUUGAAAAUUAUCUGUGAACCAACUUAGAUCUCAAAAGUUCGAGGCGCCACUAAAGACUUCUGAUAUGUAUUAUAUUUGCAUGCAGUCACUUUUUAAAUUUCUAACGUUACCACAUUUACACAAUUAGACAAAAAGAUCCCGUAGAACUGAAACAAUGAGUCGUUUAGAGAUAAUUUUAGAAAUUAUUAGUUGCUACUUGUACUUUCAACGUCCAUUCGAAUAGUUUUCCUUGUUCAACUUCCGUAAAUAACGGUCAUUGAAAGCAUGUACAGCAAAUGGAUAUUCCUGCAUUAUUCAAGUAAUAACAAGUCAUAAUCAACGUCUUUGGAACCCCUAACUGAAGAGAGAGAAAAGCAUAAGUAAAAAGUCAGGAAGAAAUUCUUUAAAACUCUUAUUUGAUUUUGUUAAGCAUGGGGAAGAACAUCAAGCAGAAUAACACAAAUAUGAAACAUUAGCAAGUUUCCCUUCGAUUUGAAAGGCCUUUCUGGAAUUGAUAAAGAGAUAAUCUAUGUUAAGUGUCAGCUAAUUACAUUUUUUUUUACCAGUGUAUGAAUGCGCGGAAUAAGACACUGCAAUUUUAGGACAGCUAUGAAUCAAAUUUAGAAUUGAAUUGGAAAUUACAAGCGAUUAAUUCUCUUAGUCACAUGCUGAUCCUUUUUGUUUAAGGGUCAAAUUGCUUGCAUACUGUUUUGCCGAAAUUCCUGAACAAUGAUAUUUUAACUUAAAUUUGAGUCUGAAAUAUUACCUUGGUAGCAUAAAAAGAGAAAAGCAGCAAGGCAAAUCUCUCAAUUGGCCAAAAGCCAACUAGUUUUCCUAUUUUUCUCAAUGGCUCCAGCUCUCAGAUCACUUUGCUUUUGGACAGUUGUCAUCAUAUCCUGGAUUUCCAUGGCCUUGGCUCGAGAUUAAGAUGAACACAAGUUCAUCUACCACGGCUGCAAUGAAUCCGAAAUUUGACAACCUCUACCCAUUUGUUCAUAUGAUAUUUGUAUUGGGUAAUUGAGUCAUGUCAAAUCUUGUCAGCUCUAAUCUAUGUGAAGGUCUGUUUAGUAUGUAUAGUUAAAUAAUCAUAAGUCUCAGACAAGGUCGAGAAGUCACCCUUAAUUUAUCCUUAAAAACCCUUUCCAAAUAAAGAGAUUUGUUAAAAAUUCCACAAAUAACCUUAAAAAUUUUACCACUUUAUAAACCAUGACUAAUAAACUAUUAUAGCUUGAAUCAAUUUUUAUACUCGAUGAUCCCCAUCAUUCUUGCAAAAUGCUACUAUUACACCAAAUUAUGAGAGGUUCAAAAGCCCAAAAAAAAAAUAGGUCUAAUAAAUUUUUUUUUUUUUUAUAUAAAAUGACCUAGGUUUACUCUUGUCCUAGGGACUUAGAAUUCUAAGUGUCCAAAGUCAAGACACGAUAAAUUGCCUAAGAGCAUGAUUCAAUAAAAAAGAUCUACAUUUAUUCUUUACAAAAUGAUCAAAAAGCAAAUCUUCGAUAAAGCACCAAAGUUAUAAUUAAAUAAAAAAUGACAUAGGUACUUAGAAAAUAUUUUUAAGUAAAAUACCUUAAAGGUGAAUUUUCUACAAAGUGUCAAAUGCAUAAUUUUACAAAGAAUGACCUAAAUUCAUUUUUUUUUAUAGAAAUUGAUCCAAGUCCAUUGUUUGUAGAAAAUUAACCUAUGUACUUAGAAAAUACUUCUAAGCGAAAUAUUCAAAAGGCAAAUGUUCGACAAAGUACCACAAAUAUAAUUCUACAAAAAAUUACCUGAUUCCAUUCUUUAUAGAAAAAUAAUUUAGGUACUUAGGAAAUACUUCUAAGUGAAAUGGCUAAAGGCAAAAAUCAAGAAAAUACCAAAGGGCGCCUAGGUACAUAAAAAGUACUUUUAAUAAAGCACCUAAGAGCAGCAUUCUACGGAAUGAACUUACAUGUAAACAUACUUUCUACGGGAAUUAGCCUAUUGGCCAAAAAUACAUUCAAUAGAAUAAGCCUGCAGGUCAACAAAUAUUCUAAGGAAGGUGGCAAUUGGCAGACAUGCAUUAUAAAAAAUAAGCUUACGAGACAAAAAAUAUUUUAUGAAAUGGGCCUACGGGAUAAACUUAUAUUCCAUGAAAUGAGCCUACAUGCCCAAAAAUACAUUUUAGAGAAUGAGCUUAUGAGCCAAACAUUCUACGGAAUGUGCUUGCAGCCAUAAAUAUAUUCUAUGAAAUGAGUUAGGGCCAAAAUGCACCUAUAAGCAAACAAAUAUUCUACGGAAUGAGCCUUUGGGCUAACAUACAUUCUAUGAAAUGCGCCUACAAGCAAAUAAUAUAUGGAAUGAGUUUAUAAACUAACAAAUAUUCGAGUCAACUCAAUUAGAUUUAGUGUUAAUCAAGUUGUGAAAAAAAAUCAUCCAAAUACAAUUCGAACUUGCAAUUCGGUCUAAUUUGAUCCGAACUAAAAAACUUGGGUUGAGUUUGAAUCAAAUCAUAUUUGAAUGCUCUUAUUUUUAAGCAACCAUUAGAGAGGACUUGUUUCUAUUUGUUAUAAACAAAAUCAAAUUCAAAGACAAGUAUUUUUCAGUUUUACAGAAUAAUUUCACUAGAAUACAUUUAGGAUUUGGCAACCCCUUGAACUAUUUUAAUUCACCCUCAAGCCUUCAAUGCUAAUUCUGGGAUCUAUCAACAGAGGUAAGAACUUGAAUUUGGUUACAGCCUGACCCUUCCUUUCAAAGUCAACUUGCUUACUAACUAUCAUUUCCUUCACUAUUUGAAAGCAGUUCUGCUCAUGCCAUUUCUACCAUCGAUAUCAUCCCAUUUGUAGAUGGUUGAAUCAUGUACUUUUCAUUCCUUGGCUAAGUAUUUUAUUCUAUGUUUAUCACUGAGAGAAUCAAGUUGCUGAAGUCAAGCUGCUGAAUAAACACAUAAAUUUCCCUUUUUUUAUAGAAGUGUUGUCCUUUGCUUGAUUAUUAAUUGAUGAAGGGACUAAAAUUUGGUAAAAUGUUUUCACCCCACUAAAUAGAAUCCAUGUUUUAUAAUUUUCAAAAGCUACACACUUCUAAAUUUGGAUAAACGACUUCUUCAUUAUUUGUCAUAUUUCUAUCAUGUUCUGGUGCAGCAAACAGAGAUUCCAUCUUCCACAGCAAAAUGACCAAUGGUUGAUGGCGUAAUAGUGAAGAACAUUUCAACCUUAGAACCAUUCAACAUGACAUGUUUCCAUGAUUUGAAUAUUAUGAUGCUUGUUGCUUCUGCAAACUGGCGUAAUGACUAAACCAUAUAUUGCACAUCUUAUUACCUUAUCUUUUAUCAAGGCAGCAGAUAAAUUCUGACGAAAUGGAAAUAGUUGCUGGAACAAAUUAAAAAACUCUAAAGAGAUAAGAAGCAUCUCCAACCAAUGAUCAGUUCCAAGAGUCGACUGAAAACUUGACACUAGCAGUGGCAGGUACAAAUCAGUGUCUGGAAAAAUGUUUUUGUUUUGAUUUGAGUCAUUUGACUAAAUCCUGUGAAUGUUAGGCUUGAUUCAUGCGCAAUGCUUUCAUUCAGCCAUUACAAAGGAUCAUUGUUAUUUAAUUUUUCAUACAGUAGGUAAGACUUACAGGUCUAACAACCAUUGAUUAGACAUUCUACCGUUUCGUUAUUGGGCUUUGCAACUCAAAACGCAUCUACUUAGUUAGAAAACCCAUAAUUUAUAAAUCAGUCCAAAAACUCAUUUGCUAGUGAUGUGAGAUAUUAUGGUAAUUGUGUCGACACAUAAACUUGAACGGUCAUUGAAAACAACAGCAAUAGAUACAUACUCAAGUAAUAUCAAGUCAUAAUCAACAUCUUUGAAACCCCAAACAUAUGACGGGCAAAAACCGGAAUGUAAGAAAAUGAACGUUUUAUCAGUACUCGUAUUUUCUUUGAUUAAGAGUGUGCAAGAACAAGAAGCAGAAGAAUUGAAUGCAUCAUUAUACUUGAAACAAUUUGUAAAUUUCCCUUCCUUCAAUAUGAAAUUACUACUCAAAUCACCAACAUGGGCCGCAGGGAUCUUUCACAGAUAAUCCAAAUUAAGGGUCCACCUUACAUUUUGUUUGACCGAUGGAUGAAGUGUUGAGUAUAAGACACCUCCACUUCCAGAAAAGCCUUAAUUUUAAAUUAAUCCCACGUUCAUUUGUGGUGUAACGACCAUUUAACUUUUCCAACAUAAUGAGAUGACUAUUAAUAAUCACAUUGAGAACUGAAUUGGAAAUUGCAUGUGGAAUUCUCUUAGUCACAAGCUGACCCUUUCUUUCCGGGGCCAACUUGCCUGCACACACACUUUCACAGAAAUUCCUGAAGACGAUAUUUUUAACUUAACUUUGAGCACAUUCUCUUACCUUAAUAGCAUAAAAAGUAAUGAACAACGAUCAUGAGCUUGAGACAAGCAAGCAGGAAAAGCUCUCCCUUUACAAAAACCAGAAAAAUAUUCCUCCUUUCCUCAAUGGCUGCAGCUCUUAGAUCACUUUACUUCUGGAAAUUUCUCCUGGUAUCCUGCUUUUCCGUGGCCUCGGCUCAAGAUGAAAACCAGUUCAUCUACCAUGGCUUCAACGAAUCCAAACUGCACCUUGAAGGCUUCUCGAACAUCCAACCAAAUGGUCUACUGCAGAUGAGCAACAGUUCCCAACUUACAAAAGGUCAUGCCUUUUACCCAUACCCACUCAACUUCAAUACAUCUUCCCCUCAAUCUCUUUCAUUUUCUACAAAUUUUGUAUUUGCCAUGGUUCCAGUUAAUACUGGUGGUCAUGGCAUGGCUUUCCUAUUCUCACCGUCUUUGGACUUCAGCCAAGCUCUUGCAUCUGCAUAUUUGGGAUUCCUCAAUUCUACAAACAAUGGCCAGUCGACAAACCACAUCAUCGCAGUGGAGCUUGAUACAGUACAGAGCGUUGAAUUUAAAGAUUUAAAUGGAACCCAUGUAGGAAUUGAUGUUAACAGCCUGAUAUCUAAUGAUUCUGCUCCAGCAGCUUAUUUUUCUGAUGAAGGGUCUUACAUAAGCUUGGAUCUACAAAGUGGAAAUCCAAUGCAGAUUUGGAUAGACUACAAUGGAGAAGAAAGGUUGCUCAAUGUAACACUAGCUCCAAUCAGAGUCUCAAAACCUAACAGGCCACUCUUGUCAACACCCCUUGAUCUUUCUCAAAUUCUCUUGGACACUAUGUAUGUUGGUUUCUCUGCAUCAAUUGGCAUACUUAAGAGUAACCAAUAUAUUCUAGGAUGGAGCUUCAGCAGAAGUGCAGAAGCACAAAAUCUUGAUAUAUCUAAACUUCCUAUACUUCCUCCACCUCCUUCACUCACUCCAUCUACUUCAUUUUCACCAUUUGCUCCACCACCUGAGAAAGCAAAGGAGAAAGGACGGGGUCCAAUUAUUAUUGUUUUUCCUGUAGUAGCCGUGUUUGCGGUUGCACUGAUAACAAUCAGUGGAGCCAUUUACAUUGUGCAGAAGAAGAAAUAUGAAGAAGUAUAUGAAGACUGGGAAAGAGAAUAUGGUCCUCAAAGGUUCUCCUAUAAGGAUCUGUACAAAGCAACUAAAGGUUUCAAGGAGCUUAUCGGAAAAGGCGGUUUUGGGAAGGUUUACAAAGGCGUACUUUCAACUUCUGGCCUACCAAUCGCGGUUAAGAAAAUUUCACAUGAUUCGGAGCAAGGGAUGAAGGAGUUUGUGUCUGAGAUUGUAAGCAUGGGAGCUCUAAGGCACAGGAACUUGGUGCAACUACACGGCUACUGCAGGCGAAAGCAAGAACUCUUGUUGGUUUAUAAUUAUAUGCACAAUAAAAGCCUAGAUACAAUUUUACACAGCAGCACAAGACCAAAUCUUAAUUGGUUUCAACGAUUUCGGAUCCUCAGAGGAGUAGCUUCUGCCCUGCUUUACCUGCACGAAGAGGGGGAAAAAGUCGUGCUACAUAGAGAUAUAAAGCCUGGAAAUAUUCUUUUAGAUGCUCAUCUGAAUGGCAAGUUAGGAGACUUCGGCAUGGCGAGGUUAUAUGAUCACGGUAGCAUUCCUUGUACCACUAACCUGGUAGGAACUCUAGGUUAUAUGGCUCCAGAGCUUCUCAGAACUGGAAAGGCAGAUACUAGGACUGAUGUAUUUGCUUUUGGGGUUUGUAUGCUUGAGGUGGCAUGUGGAAGGAGACCUAUAGAGGAUGGAAACAUAAACUUGGUAGAUUGGGUUAUUGACUGCUGGAAAAGAGGAUGUAUCCUUGAUGUUAUUGAUCCGAGACUGGAGGGUCUUUAUGUCGAGGAGCAAA
This 7205-nucleotide long non-coding RNA is filed under the name Citrus maxima (pomelo). RNAcentral's name for it is "long non-coding RNA (CMAX_LNC003544)". The record is from RNAcentral. Lineage: Eukaryota; Viridiplantae; Streptophyta; Magnoliopsida; Sapindales; Rutaceae.